RNAcentral lists this unclassified non-coding RNA (387 nucleotides) under soil metagenome. RNAcentral describes it as "partial contains 5.8S ribosomal RNA, internal transcribed spacer 2, and large subunit ribosomal RNA". The stretch from base 1 to 120 matches the Rfam family "5.8S ribosomal RNA", at positions 35 to 154 of the family's 154-position model. The record is from RNAcentral.
GAUGAAGAACGCAGCGAAAUGCGAUAAGUAAUGUGAAUUGCAGAAUUCAGUGAAUCAUCGAAUCUUUGAACGCACCUUGCGCUCCUUGGUAUUCCGAGGAGCAUGCCUGUUUGAGUGUCAUGAAAUUCUCAACCUUUUCAGCUUUCUUUGUUGAUCAGGCUUGGAUGUGGGAGUAUGCGGGCUUCUCAGAAGUCGGCUCUCCUGAAAUGCAUUAGCGGGACCUUUGUUGCCUAGCUUUGGUGUGAUAAUUAUCUACGCCAUUGUAGUCAAGCAGCUUAAAAUGAGGUUUCAGCUUCUAACCGUCUCCCCUGAGACAACUUUUUGACAAUUUGACCUCAAAUCAGGUAGGACUACCCGCUGAACUUAAGCAUAUCAAUAAGCGGAGGA